AAAAACUCCUAGCUGUUCUAUUACAAAAAAAGAAGUACAAAAUAACAAGUUUGAUAACAUAAAUAAUCAAUAAUUAUUUAACGAUAAAAGUCCUUUUAAAUUAUAAUCAUAUAAAAUGAAUAAAAAAACUCAAAGCAAUAAAAAGAAAAACCACAUACUCAAAACUCCGGCAACCACUGGUCCAGCACUGUAACUAAACGCACUGUUAUCAUCCGCCGUUGAAUCUGCAAAAUCGUCACUGGGACCAUCCGCCGGUGAGUCCGCCGGAGUAUCAGCUGCCGCCGGCGCCUUGUGUUUCUUCUUCUUUUUAGAUGGUUCAGGUGAAUCGGCAUCCGGUGCCGGUGCCGGCGCCGGAGUAUCUGCGGCAGCUGAAGCCUUGAAUAGUUCCUUAGGCAUUAGAACUUUAUUAAUAGUGAAAAUAGCAAUAGGCUGUUCAUCAAUAAGAGUUCCGGUGAUCUUCGCCGUCACAAUCUUCGUCUUCAAUGUCACUGUAUCGCCGUCAUUUUGAACAACGAAGUCAUACUUCUUAGCUCCAUCAGUAGCUAAAGUAUUCAUCACGCCAUUGUUCGAUUUCAAGCUCGCCAUAGAUUGAUAUACCGGAACCCCAUGAUACUCAAGCAACGAUUGCUUCCCGUCGGCAGUCAGAUUCUUAAACUUAGGCAUAAAAUUCUUCAUCGCAUCAUCUCCAGGACAAAACACCGUUAACCCACCAUCAGCGUUCUCAUCAAAAGUCUUCUCAGCAGGAGAUUUCAACAAUGUUUCAGCAAAAACCCUACACCCAUGAGCCGACAUUAGCGAAGUCAGAUUCAUCUGACUCGGUUCCGGCGUCGGAGCUUCAGCUGAAGCAGACGGCAGCAUCGUACUAAUCUGUAUAACAGAUAUAUUAUACGGUAUCUCCUCAACAGAUUUAACAAAAGUAGCCGGAAGAUUACCAUGAUUCUCCGCCGGCCCAAAUCCAACUUUCCCACCUUUCAGAUCUGUAAUGUUAACAAACCCAGUCGAACCAGGAGCUGAACCGGUUGCCUGAAACAUAGUUGCAGCUAACGCAGUGCCAUUAGUGAUUUGAUGAAGUUUCUUCGCACCGAAGUAAUCUAAAAGUACGUGAAGUGAAAUGACGUUUUUGAUAGUGUAAAUGGAGAGAUGCUUAGAGAGAAGCUCCUCCAUGCCGGCGUUGUCGACGGCGCAGACAGUUAUGGUUUCCCGGCUGUUAAUCUCGGCGGCGAGAUGGGUUUCAGUUAAGUAAUGGUUGAAAGUGGAAAAUUGUGGGUAUUUUGCUAAAAUAUGUGUGAUAUUGUGAGCUGAGGUUGUAUGUGGUGAAAGCAAAAGACCUAAAGAGAAGACCACCAUGGCCACGGCGGUCAUUGACCGGAGCUGCAUUAUUGCUAAAGAGAGAAGAAAGAGAAGCAGAGAGAGAGUAAACACAAUGUGUG
Molecule: unclassified non-coding RNA, 1430 nt
Filed under: Hevea brasiliensis (rubber tree)
Lineage: Eukaryota; Viridiplantae; Streptophyta; Magnoliopsida; Malpighiales; Euphorbiaceae
Source: RNAcentral